UUGCAGUUAAAAAGCUCGUAGUUGGAUUUCUGCGGGGGCGGGGCGGCCGGUUGCUUAUAGCAACUCGAGCUAGCACUUCCCCUGCAUCCUGCCGCGAACCGUGCUACCAUUAGUUUGGUGGCGCUGGGGAUCGGCUCGUUUACUUUGAGAAAAAUAGAGUGUUCAAAGCAGGCCACACGCCUUGAAUAAGUUAGCAUGGAAUAAUGAUAAAGGACUUCGGUUCUAUUUUGUUGGUGUUCGGGACUGAAGUAAUGAUUGAUAGGGACAGUUGGGGCGGUCAGUAUUCCAAAGCGAGAGGUGAAAUUCUUAGACCUUCGGAAGACUAACAGCUGCGAAAGCGUUCCGCAAGGAUGUUCCCUUUGAUCAAGAACGAAAGUUGGGGGAUCGAAGACGAUCAGAUACCGUCGUAGUCUCAACUAUAAACUAUACCAGCUAGGGAUCGGCCGACGUUUACUUAUAUCGACUCGGUCGGCACCUUAUGAGAAAUCAAAGCAUCUGGGUUCCGGGGGAGUAUGGUCGCAAGGCUGAAACUUAAAGGAAUUGACGGAAGGGCACCACCAGCCGUGGAGCCUGCGGCUUAAUUUGACUCAACA
This 593-nucleotide ribosomal RNA is filed under the name uncultured marine eukaryote. Its description in RNAcentral is "bacterial SSU rRNA". It matches the Rfam family "Eukaryotic small subunit ribosomal RNA", at positions 613 to 1205 of the family's 1831-position model. The record is from RNAcentral.